GUCCCUGUAGCGCAAUGGAUUGCGCGUAGGACUUCUAAUCCAAAGGACAUGGAUUCGAUUCCCACCUGGGAUG
Non-coding RNA from Trichonephila inaurata madagascariensis, 73 nucleotides. The record is from the annotation of a GenBank genome assembly. NCBI's taxonomy places the organism in Eukaryota, Metazoa, Arthropoda, Arachnida, Araneae, Nephilidae.